AAACGGAAGAAAAGAGCCACCAGGAGCUCUCCUCCUGCCCCGGCAGCGUGGUGGCGCGGGAGCGAGCGGCGGCAGCAGGUUGCUGUAUGUGCGCACACGGCGUCAGGGAGCCUGGGGCAAACACCGCGGUUCAUCAUUUCAGCACCAGAUUUCUCUUGUUGCUGCUGUGGCACCUGGGGAAACACAGAUGCAGUCGGUAUUGCUACUCCUGAGGAGCGAGUAGGUGCAGGGAAGGCGUGCUGGAGCCUCUGAACACUGCAGGGCAGUCCGAAGAGGAGCUGUGUUUGCAAGCAGAGUCCUGGGGAUGCAGUGAAUCUCACUGCUCUCUCUGAAGUAGGGUGUUCAUCUCUUCGGUGGAGCUCUGCUAGAAGACACUUUGUGGAGCAGAUUCCAAGGAAGGAUGUGGGCUUUGCUUUCUUCAUUUCUAUCCAUCUAGCUUUCAGAAGAAGCCCAGCAUCCUAGGCAGGUUCCUGGCUCUGUACGGCACCGGCAGAAGGCAAAUCGCUCUGUUGGGAACAGAAGGAGCCAACUUCUACCUCGCUCGGAUCCAUGGAGGGCCCACAAUCAGCAAUGCUGCCCUCAAGCAGGGAAAUCUCAUACUCUGGAGCUGAUGCUUGAUUUCAGAGAGACCCUACACCUGCUGAUGCAGCCAUAUUUCUUCCUGAUCCAACUAGAUUUUCCUCAGGUGCCUCUUCUGCAAGCAUUGCCUAAAUCCACCCUUCUUUGGGAAGACUUGAGUCAUCACUCAUAGGGAAAGGGAUGUAGAAAUGAAACUGAGUGCUAGGAUGUCAAAGCCAAAGUGCAUUUUUGAAUUUUUAGGUCAGGUUUGAUCACCAUUAUGUAUUCAGAAUCAGUCCUAGGCUAAUUAUAGUUUCCACAUUUUUAGGAAAUUGGAAUUUCAUAUAUGGUAACCUUGCUGUUCUCUCCAUAUUCACUGGUUUUCUAUAAAUAAUACAAUUCGGUUAUAAUAACCCCUGGAAUGGUUCACUAAAAUGAGAAAGGAGACUUUAUUCACUGAAGUAAAGAGAGGAAGACAUUCAUAGGUGGUGGUUAGAG
RNAcentral lists this long non-coding RNA (1056 nucleotides) under Struthio camelus australis. Its description in RNAcentral is "lncRNA (ENSSCUG00000005881.1)". Lineage: Eukaryota; Metazoa; Chordata; Aves; Struthioniformes; Struthionidae. The record is from RNAcentral.